Molecule: ribosomal RNA, 800 nt
Filed under: Pantoea sp.
Lineage: Bacteria; Pseudomonadati; Pseudomonadota; Gammaproteobacteria; Enterobacterales; Erwiniaceae
Description: bacterial SSU rRNA
Rfam family: Bacterial small subunit ribosomal RNA
Source: RNAcentral
AGUCGGACGGUAGCACAGAGAGCUUGCUCUCGGGUGACGAGUGGCGGACGGGUGAGUAAUGUCUGGGGAUCUGCCCGAUAGAGGGGGAUAACCACUGGAAACGGUGGCUAAUACCGCAUAACGUCGCAAGACCAAAGAGGGGGACCUUCGGGCCUCUCACUAUCGGAUGAACCCAGAUGGGAUUAGCUAGUAGGCGGGGUAAUGGCCCACCUAGGCGACGAUCCCUAGCUGGUCUGAGAGGAUGACCAGCCACACUGGAACUGAGACACGGUCCAGACUCCUACGGGAGGCAGCAGUGGGGAAUAUUGCACAAUGGGCGCAAGCCUGAUGCAGCCAUGCCGCGUGUAUGAAGAAGGCCUUCUGGUUGUAAAGUACUUUCAGCGGGGAGGAAGGCGAUGGGGUUAAUAACCUUAUCGAUUGACGUUACCCGCAGAAAAAGCACCGGCUAACUCCGUGCCAGCAGCCGCGGUAAUACGGAGGGUGCAAGCGUUAAUCGGAAUUACUGGGCGUAAAGCGCACGCAGGCGGUCUUGUUAAGUCAGAUGUGAAAUCCCCGGGCUUAACCUGGGAACUGCAUUUGAAACUGGCAGGCUUGAGUCUUGUAGAGGGGGGUAGAAUUCCAGGUGUAGCGGUGAAAUGCGUAGAGAUCUGGAGGAAUACCGGUGGCGAAGGCGGCCCCCUGGACAAAGACUGACGCUCACGUGCGAAAGCGUGGGGAGCACACAGGAUUAGAUACCCUGGUAGUCCACGCCGUAUACGAUGUCGACUUGUAGGUUGUUCCCUUGAGGAGUGGCUUCCGGA